RNAcentral lists this long non-coding RNA (256 nucleotides) under Hordeum vulgare. RNAcentral's name for it is "long non-coding RNA (HVUL_LNC020263)". Lineage: Eukaryota; Viridiplantae; Streptophyta; Magnoliopsida; Poales; Poaceae. The record is from RNAcentral.
CGUUGACACUGCACGUACGCUAGCCGGAAUUGUAUGUACUCGAUCUCGUAGAAACUAGCUCCGAUUGAUUCUUCUCGGCACCGUCGGCCAAGGUUUCUUCAGCGAACGCAAGCGAAUCAAUGGAUUACAAACAGGCUCGUGUCGAGCCUUGCUUUUGCUAUGUAUUACUUUGAUCUUUUUUCUUUGUGUAAUACAACGUGGGUUACAUAGGUAUAUAAAGAAGCUACCCUGUCCCUAUUCAAAACCUACACGGUGA